Long non-coding RNA from Amphimedon queenslandica, 140 nucleotides. RefSeq lists it as uncharacterized. The transcript is spliced from 2 exons. NCBI's taxonomy places the organism in Eukaryota, Metazoa, Porifera, Demospongiae, Haplosclerida, Niphatidae. The record is from RefSeq and is a predicted model, not a curated record.
AUAAUUGAACAAGAUAAAGAACUGAAUAUCAUCAAAAAAAGAAAAGAGUAUAUUGAAAGGAGACUAGAGACACCAGGUAUAGUACUAACUUAAAGCAUGUAUUAAAGUAAUGUGGAGUUGAUAAUCAUUUGAACAAUCAG